Molecule: ribosomal RNA, 397 nt
Filed under: uncultured bacterium
Lineage: Bacteria
Description: partial 16S ribosomal RNA
Rfam family: Bacterial small subunit ribosomal RNA
Source: RNAcentral
AUUCGUAGGGGGCGAGCGUUGUCCGGACUGAUUGGGCGUAAAGGGCGCGUAGGCGGCCUGUUAAGUCUGGAGUGAAAGUCCUGUUUUCAGGAUGGGAAUUGCUUUGGAUACUGAUGGGCUUGAGUGCAGGAGAGGUUAUCGGAAUUCACGGUGUAGCGGUGAAAUGCGUAGAGAUCGGGAGGAACACCAGUGGCGAAGGCGGGUAACUGGACUGCAACUGACGCUGAGGCGCGAAAGUGUGGGGAGCAAACAGGAUUAGAUACCCUGGUAGUCCACACUGUAAACGGUGAAUGCUAGGUGUAAGAGGUAUCGACCCCUUGUGUGCCUGAGUUAACACAAUAAGCAUUCCGCCUGGGGAGUACGGCCGCAAGGUUGAAACUCAAAUGAAUUGGCGGGG